UACGGAGGGUGCGAACGUUAAUCGGAAUCACUGGGCGUAAAGCGCGCGUAGGCGGUCUGUUAAGUGGGAUGUGAAAUCCCCGGGCUUAACCUGGGAAUUGCAUUUCAAACUGGCCGACUAGAGUACGGUAGAGGGAGGUAGAAUUUCCUGUGUAGCGGUGAAAUGCGUAGAUAUAGGAAGGAAUACCAGUGGCGAAGGCGGCCACCUGGCUGCCAACUGACGCUGAGGCACGAGAGCGUGGGGAGCGAACCGG
Molecule: ribosomal RNA, 253 nt
Filed under: uncultured bacterium
Lineage: Bacteria
Description: partial 16S ribosomal RNA
Rfam family: Bacterial small subunit ribosomal RNA
Source: RNAcentral